Ictalurus punctatus (channel catfish) is the source of this 430-nucleotide long non-coding RNA. NCBI's taxonomy places the organism in Eukaryota, Metazoa, Chordata, Actinopteri, Siluriformes, Ictaluridae. The record is from Ensembl.
GAGAAAAUCGAAAGAGAAUCUGUGAUGGAUUCAGCAGAGAGGAAGAACAACUUACAACAUCUUCUGAGAGAAGAGAUGGAAAUGCACCUCAAAGAGGGCCGAACCAGUGUGGAGAGGAACCAGGAGAGGGUCAAGCGCAUUAAGCAGCUCAGAGAGGAACUGUACAAAGAGGAGAAAACACAAAAGGAUUCUCUUGAAGAAUCACAACAAUCAGGACAAGACUGUAGUCCAGAGGAAUACUCCAAACUCCAGGAGCAGAUGAGGAAGAUGAAAGAAGAUCAUGAGAGAGUGAUACAGGAGGAACUGCUAAAGAUGGAACGUGAACUGCAGGAAGAGCAGCCAGAAGGGCUGGAGGAUGAAGUGAUGUACAUGAGAAGAGAGAGGCAGAUCCUGGUGCUGCAGAUCGAGGCCCUGCGCAGAGAGAACCAGC